RNAcentral lists this unclassified non-coding RNA (373 nucleotides) under soil metagenome. RNAcentral describes it as "partial contains 5.8S ribosomal RNA, internal transcribed spacer 2, and large subunit ribosomal RNA". The stretch from base 1 to 120 matches the Rfam family "5.8S ribosomal RNA", at positions 35 to 154 of the family's 154-position model. The record is from RNAcentral.
GAUGAAGAACGUAGCGAAAUGCGAUAACUAAUGUGAAUUGCAGAAUUCCGUGAAUCAUCGAGUCUUUGAACGCACAUUGCGCCCCCUGGUAUUCCGGGGGGCAUGCCUGUCCGAGCGUCAUUGCAACCCUCAAGCACGGCUUGUCUAAUGGGCGGUUCGUCUGCGGCCAUCCGCCGGAGACGCCCCCGAAAUGCAGUGGGGAUGUUCGCUAAAUCGCAGCGUCAGGAAUGGAAAUAAACAAUGCUGACGGCUCGAUGUCGAACGUCCACCUAAGGCGUGCCGCCCCCCCGGGGAGUGCCGCCCAACCUCUCUCGGUUGACCUCGGAUCAGGUAGGGAUACCCGCUGAACUUAAGCAUAUCAAUAAGCGGAGGA